Molecule: non-coding RNA, 451 nt
Organism: Gopherus flavomarginatus (Mexican gopher tortoise)
Lineage: Eukaryota; Metazoa; Chordata; Testudines; Testudinidae
Source: the annotation of a RefSeq genome assembly
GUUUAAAUGAGAUUCGGAGGGUCCUAGUCACAGACCUGUUUGCCUCAGGAAGCCGAGAUCGUCUGGAUUCGUCACCAUGGCCUGGGCCCCUCUGCUCCUCACACUGCUCACUUACUGCUCUGGUUCCCUCUCCCAGUUUACUCUGACUCAGCAGCCCUCAGUAUCAGUGUCCAUUGGCAACACAGUUAAAUUGUCCUGUACCAUUAGCAGUGGAACCACAUUUGGAAGGGUUGUGUGGUACCAGCAGAAAGAUGGGAACAGCCCAAGAUACCUUCUGAGAUACAACAAAGACUCUGACAAACACCAGGGCUCUGGGGUCCCCAGUCGCUUUGCUGGUUCCAAAGACACCUCUAAUACAAUCGGCUACUUAACCAUCACCAGCGUCCGGGCAGAGGAUGAGGCUGACUAUUACUGUGGUGCACGGACCAGUGGUGUUGCUGCUGCACAGUGA